Molecule: ribosomal RNA, 498 nt
Filed under: uncultured bacterium
Lineage: Bacteria
Description: partial 16S ribosomal RNA
Rfam family: Bacterial small subunit ribosomal RNA
Source: RNAcentral
AUUGAACGCUGGCGGGAUGCUUUACACAUGCAAGUCGAACGGCAGCACGGGGCAACCUGGUGGCGAGUGGCGAACGGGUGAGUAAUACAUCGGAACGUGCCCAAUCGUGGGGGAUAACGUAGCGAAAGUUACGCUAAUACCGCAUACGAUCUACGGAUGAAAGCGGGGGAUCGCAAGACCUCGCGCGAAUGGAGCGGCCGAUGUCAGAUUAGGUAGUUGGUGGGGUAAAGGCUCACCAAGCCGACGAUCUGUAGCUGGUCUGAGAGGACGACCAGCCACACUGGGACUGAGACACGGCCCAGACUCCUACGGGAGGCAGCAGUGGGGAAUUUUGGACAAUGGGCGCAAGCCUGAUCCAGCCAUUCCGCGUGCAGGAUGAAGGCCUUCGGGUUGUAAACUGCUUUUGUACGGAACGAAACGGUGAGCUCUAAUACAGUUUGCUAAUGACGGUACCGUAAGAAUAAGCACCGGCUAACUACGUGCCAGCCGCCGCAGUAA